AUGGGAGACUUUAACGAGAUAUUAAGUAACGAGGAGAAGGGGGGUGGAGUGGAUAGAGCGGAGGGAUGCAUGAAUUCAUUCCGGGAGGCGCUUGAAGGGUGCAGGUUGAGUGAUUUGGGAUUCGAAGGGGACAUUUUCACGUGGUGGAACGGAUACAUAUGUGGUCGACUGGACAGAGCGGCGGCCAAUAUGGAGUGGUGUGAGGCGUUCCCGGAGUUCCGCGUGAGGAAUGAGCUGCCGCGGCAUUCGGAUCAUCGGCCUGUGGUG
Molecule: ribosomal RNA, 267 nt
Filed under: Triticum aestivum (bread wheat)
Lineage: Eukaryota; Viridiplantae; Streptophyta; Magnoliopsida; Poales; Poaceae
Description: partial small subunit ribosomal RNA
Source: RNAcentral